UGGGGGAAUAUUGGGCAAUGGGCGCAAGCCUUACCCAGCAAUGCCGCGUGAAUGAAGAAGGUCUUCGGAUUGUAAAGUUCUCUAGUCAGGGACGAAAAAAUGACGGUACCUGAAGAAUAAGCCCCGGCUAACUACGUGCCAGCAGCCGCGGUAAUACGUAGGGGGCAAGCGUUGUCCGGAAUGACUGGGCGUAAAGGGUGUGUAGGCGGUUUGGCAAGUUGGGAGUGAAAUACCUAGGGCUCAACCCAGGUGCUGCUUUCAAAACUGUUAGACUUGAGUGCAGGAGAGGUUAAUGGAAUUCCUAGUGUAGCGGUGGAAUGCGUAG
This 325-nucleotide ribosomal RNA is filed under the name uncultured bacterium. Its description in RNAcentral is "bacterial SSU rRNA". It matches the Rfam family "Bacterial small subunit ribosomal RNA", at positions 354 to 693 of the family's 1533-position model. The record is from RNAcentral.